This 229-nucleotide non-coding RNA is filed under the name Kurthia sp. RNAcentral's name for it is "T-box sequence". It matches the Rfam family "T-box leader". From Rfam's summary of the family: Uncharged tRNA acts as the effector for transcription antitermination of genes in the T-box leader family. T-boxes are found upstream of many aminoacyl-tRNA synthetase genes and some amino acid biosynthetic genes usually in Gram-positive bacteria. The record is from RNAcentral. Lineage: Bacteria; Bacillati; Bacillota; Bacilli; Caryophanales; Caryophanaceae.
AUAAAAGUAUUGAUAGAGACAGUAUUUUAUGAGAGCAGUAAAGCGAUUCGAGGAUAGUGUAAGCUCGGACAACGUAAUCAUAAGAGAAAAUCACUCUUGAACUAGAUUGCUGAACAGAUUUAGUAAGCAAUCUCGGGCGCACACCGUUACUGUGUUCUAAGAGGCAAAUUAAGUAGAAUUAGUUUGCAACUAGGGUGGUACCGCGAGAAUACUCCUCCUCGUCCCUUUG